RNAcentral lists this ribosomal RNA (490 nucleotides) under uncultured bacterium. RNAcentral describes it as "bacterial SSU rRNA". It matches the Rfam family "Bacterial small subunit ribosomal RNA", at positions 32 to 531 of the family's 1533-position model. The record is from RNAcentral.
AAUCAACGCUGGCGGCGUGCCUCAGACAUGCAAGUCGAACGAUUAAAGCUCUCUUCGGAGAGUGUAUAGAGUGGCGCACGGGUGAGUAACACGCAAGUAAUCUACCCUCGAGUGGGGAAUAACAACCGGAAACGGUUGCUAAUACCGCAUAAUGCAGCGGCACCGCAAGGUGACAGUUGUUAAAGAUUUAUCGCUUGAGGAGGAGCUUGCGGCAGAUUAGCUAGUUGGUAGGGUAACGGCUUACCAAGGCUACGAUCUGUAACCGGUCAAGAGGACGGUCGGUCACACUGACACUGAAUAACGGGUCAGACUCCUACGGGAGGCAGCAGUCGGGAAUUUUGGGCAAUGGGCGAAAGCCUGACCCAGCAACGCCGCGUGAAGGAUGAAGUAUUUCGGUAUGUAAACUUCGAAAGAAUAGGAAGAAUUAAUGACGGUACUAUUUAUAAGGUCCGGCUAACUACGUGCCAGCAGCCGCGGUAAAGUCUGUACU